GAUGAAGAACGUAGCGAAAUGCGAUAAGUAAUGUGAAUUGCAGAAUUCCGUGAACCAUCGAAUCUUUGAACGCACAUUGCGCCCGCUGGUAUUCCGGCGGGCAUGCCUGUUCGAGCGUCAUUUCAACCCUCAAGCCCCCGGGUUUGGUGUUGGGGAUCGGCUCUGCCCUUCUGGGCGGUGCCGCCCCCGAAAUACAUUGGCGGUCUCGCUGCAGCCUCCAUUGCGUAGUAGCUAACACCUCGCAACUGGAACGCGGCGCGGCCAUGCCGUAAAACCCCAACUUCUGAAUGUUGACCUCGGAUCAGGUAGGAAUACCCGCUGAACUUAAGCAUAUCAAUAAGCGGAGGA
This 348-nucleotide unclassified non-coding RNA is filed under the name soil metagenome. RNAcentral describes it as "partial contains 5.8S ribosomal RNA, internal transcribed spacer 2, and large subunit ribosomal RNA". The stretch from base 1 to 120 matches the Rfam family "5.8S ribosomal RNA", at positions 35 to 154 of the family's 154-position model. The record is from RNAcentral.